Molecule: ribosomal RNA, 719 nt
Filed under: uncultured bacterium
Lineage: Bacteria
Description: bacterial SSU rRNA
Rfam family: Bacterial small subunit ribosomal RNA
Source: RNAcentral
CACGUAUGAAACCUGCCCGGAGCAGGGGGAUAAGCGGAAGAAAUUCCGUCUAAUACCGCGUAAUGAGGCGGGGAGGCAUCUCCCCGCUUCCAAAGAUUUAUCGGCUCCGGAUGGUCAUGCGGCGCAUUAGCUGGUUGGCGGGGUAACGGCCCACCAAGGCGACGAUUCGUAGGGGUUCUGAGAGGAAGGCCCCCCACACUGGUACUGAGACACGGACCAGACUCCUACGGGAGGCAGCAGUGAGGAAUAUUGGUCAAUGGCCGGGAGGCUGAACCAGCCAAGUCGCGUGAGGGAUGACGGCCCUACGGGUUGUAAACCUCUUUUGCCGGGGAGCAAGAACCGCCUCGCGCAGGCGGACUGAGAGUACCCGGAGAAAAAGCAUCGGCUAACUCCGUGCCAGCAGCCGCGGUAAUACGGAGGAUGCGAGCGUUAUCCGGAUUCAUUGGGUUUAAAGGGUGCGCAGGCGGGCGGUCAAGUCAGCGGUAAAAUCGUGGGGCCCAACCCCAUCCCGCCGUUGAAACUGGCCGUCUUGAGUGGGCGAGAAGUAUGCGGAAUGCGUGGUGUAGCGGUGAAAUGCAUAGAUAUCACGCAGAACUCCGAUUGCGAAGGCAGCAUACCGGCGCCCGACUGACGCUCAUGCACGAAAGCGUGGGUAUCGAACAGGAUUAGAUACCCUGGUAGUCCACGCAGUAAACGAUGAAUACUAAUUGUCCGGGGCG